AUCCACUAGGAAAGGUUCCAGGACAACCGGAGGACCUGUCCUGCUUGAUGGUGUGUUUGACCAGCAGGUGGAGCUAGAUCAACUCCCCGAGCACCAUGGCAACAGGAGUGUUCCCCUUCAGAGCAGAGCCAUAGGAUCAGAUGGGCCGCUUUGGACUCAUAGUGAUUUGAGCACAAGCUGUUCUAACACACACUCAGAUACUCAGUGGCCUCAAGAUAUUAAACAACCAACCCUGAACUAUAAACCCUGUGAUGUUAAAGACAAACACUUGAGAGUUAACUGGACUAAGGCUCAUCUAGACACACACACACAUCAAACUGUUUUUCUUUUAUAGUUCGUGUCCAUCUUUGUGAAAAGGAAUAUCGGUUGUCUGUCUCAGUCUAGUGUUAUUGCAGUUACAGUCCAGGCUACAGUUUGAUCAGCUCUUGGCGUCUGUUCAAACCAUCCGGAAGUGAAACUCCCAUGAGCAAUGUCUCACGAGGUUCUAAUAUAGAAGUAGGUGCUGUUUGAGAAAUGUUGUAAAUUACAUGACAUUAUUUUUGAAGACCAAGUUGCCAAAUAAAAUUAAUUUUGUAUUGUGUA
Molecule: long non-coding RNA, 582 nt
Organism: Carassius carassius (crucian carp)
Lineage: Eukaryota; Metazoa; Chordata; Actinopteri; Cypriniformes; Cyprinidae
Exons: 2
Source: RefSeq, a predicted model, not a curated record